CUUAAAUCUGGGUUUGUAGAUGACACAGGAGUAGGAAAUUCCAUAAUUAGCAUGUAUUCCAAGUGCUUUAGCAUGAAUGAUGCAAUUAAAUCUUUCAACACUAUGUCAGCACAUGAUAUAGUUUCAUGGAAUUGUUUGAUUGCAGGCUAUCUCCUUCACAGGCAGGGAGAUCAGGCCUUGGUUGUCUGGUCGAGAAUGGAGAAGGCAGGCAUAAAACCCGACACUGCCA
This 229-nucleotide unclassified non-coding RNA is filed under the name Hevea brasiliensis (rubber tree). The record is from RNAcentral. Lineage: Eukaryota; Viridiplantae; Streptophyta; Magnoliopsida; Malpighiales; Euphorbiaceae.